Molecule: non-coding RNA, 30745 nt
Organism: Rattus norvegicus (Norway rat)
Lineage: Eukaryota; Metazoa; Chordata; Mammalia; Rodentia; Muridae
Source: RefSeq, a predicted model, not a curated record
AGAGGUAUAGCUGGGUCCUCAGGCAGUUCAAUGUCCAUAAUUGCCUUUAUUACUUGAUUGUUUUAUCUGUCUUCUUUCAAAAGCGAUCCAGAGGGCUGCCUGUCAUCUGGAAGUGAGGAGCUGGGCAGCAUGCACACACGCAUAUGGAAGUGGCAAAAGUUGGCCUUGCUGCAUUAGGCCCAGUCUGACAAGGAGAAAAAUGUAGUGUUUUACCAUUGUGUGGGCAUGUGUGCGCACAUGGGUGUGUGUUUUUCUUUCCUCCAACAUGAAAUCAACUUUCCUACUUGGCCGCUGUCAUAGACUCCCAACCAUCACAAGGUUGAGGACCACAAGGGCCUUCUGCCUUCUGGAAAAGGUAGGAUUUUCUCCUUCCCCUAACAUUUGAAAAGUCACAUUUUACAUGUGUGCUGUGUGUUGGUGUGCAGUUAUCUUUGUGUACCAAGGGAGUGCCUGGUACCCUCAAAGGGCAGAAGAGCAGAGCAUUGAAUCCCCUGGAUCUGGAGUUACAAGUGGUUUCGAGCAGUCACGUGGCUACUUGGACUCAGACUCUGGUCUUUUGGAAGAGCGCACCUGGUCCUCUUAAGUCCCUGAGUCAUCUCUUCAGUUUUAUUUUUAAUCCUAAAUUUAUGUUGAACUUUGGAGGCAGUGCUUUCUAAGUCUGCCCACACGAUGGUGUGCAUUUUAAAGUCUGUUUUAUUAAAUGGUGUAUUGUGCUGUAACGUUCUGAUACUAAAGCAGCCUGGGGCUCAUGGGAUACACUCCAUUUGGUGUCUCAGUCAGGGUUUACUGCUGUGCACAGACACCAUGACCAAGGCAACUCUUAGGACAAGAUUUCACUGGGGCUGGUUUACAGCGUCAGAAGUUCAGUCCAUCACCAUCAGGGCAGGAAGCAUGAUGCUAAAGGAGGAGCUGAGAGUUCUGCAUCUUGAUCAGAAGGCAGCCAGGAGAAGACUGUGUCCAAGGCAGCCAGGAGGAGGGUCUCAAAGCCCACACCCACAAUAACACACUUCCUCCAACAAGGCCUCACCACCUAAUAGUGCCAUUCCCAGGGCCAAGAGCAUUCAAACCACCACAGUUGGUUAAAUCUUUUUAUUCUUUAAAUGUUCUACCUUGCUAAUAUUCUGCUAAAGGUUCUAUUUUUAUAAGGAAAUUCAAAUACAAGGUGUUUGUGUUUUUCCUUAUAGUCAGUCAGUCACUUCCUCUGAAGUUAUAUGUGUGUGUGUGUGUGUGUGUGUGUGUGUGUGUGUGUGUGUGUGUCUUUGGUUUGGGUACACAUUAACACUGUCACAGAGUAACUUGAAAGCAUUUCCUUUGCCUGUUUUCUGGGAGAGUUGAAGUUAUUUUUCUUUUUUACAUGACUUGUAGAAUCUGUCCCUAGAAAAAUACCUUGGAUUUUUAAAAAAAAUUCUCUCAUAUAUUACAUCCCAAACACAGUGCCCCCCACCCCUUCCUUCCAGUCCUGCGUCACCCCCAUCCUGGUCUCCCAUUCCUCUUCCAUUUCCCUUCAAAAAAGAACUUCCCAGGGAUAUCGACCAAAUAUGGCAUAACAAAACAUAGUAAGCCUAGGCACAAAACCUCUUAUCUAGGUUGCAUGAGACAACCCAGUAGGAGGGAAAAGGUCCAAAAAACAGGCAAGAGAGCCAGAGACACCCACUCCCAUUCUUAGGAGUCCCACACGGACAUGAAGCCUCAGAAUCAUUACAUGUAUGCAGACGACCUAGGCCAGACCCAAAUGGGCCUUAGAUUUUAACUGUAGGAGUAUUUUAAAUCACAGAAUCUCUUGUAAUAAUAAAACCUGUAUUCGGUUUUAAAAAUCAAUUUCUAUACUUUUGUUAAUAUUCUCAGUUUGGUGGGAUACUAUUGUCAUUUCCUUUAAUUUUUGUCAACCUUGUUUCCUUUGUUUUAGUCUUUGUCACUGUCUCCAAUAUCUGAGGCCCUUCAGAGGUUGUCUCUGCUAGCUCUUCUUUCUCUCCUAUAUUUGAGUGCUUCUUUUGUAAAUCUCGUGAUGUUUUUCUUGAAGCUUGAACCUUUAGAGAGCUCAUGAUAACAUAGCAUGGUGUUCUCACACCUUUAACUGUGGUUGUUGCCGAGCUUCUUUUAUUCAUUGGGUAAUGAUUUACCUGGACUCAGUGAGAGGCUGGCUGUCUAAAUACAAGCAGCAGCUUCUGUGUGUGCUCAGUCUUUAUAUUGACAGAGCUCGCAUUGCUGUCGUAAGCCAUUCCUAUCAUACCCUGGAUUGGUAUAGCCCAGUAGCCAGCAUGUAACCGACCAGACCUGCACUUCAGCAUAAUGAUUUAAUAAAGCUGUGUCCCAUUUUUCGUUGAUUUGCUUCCGGCUGAAACUCAUUCAGUGUGCAGGAAGUUACCAUUCCUACCCUGUAUCAUAAAGCUGUAUGUUCAGUGAGCUUCAGAGUUACACAAGCCAUAGUCUGGUCUCUUCUGAGCUUGGGUACAACCAUGUACAUACAGGUGGUCUUCAGACCUACCAGGAAAAUUCAGGAGCGUGUAGGGCCUGCAUAACUGAUGCCCGCCGACCACACUGUUUAAUUUCUCUAGUCUUAGGCUAUAUGGAAUCGUAGGCUAGUUACAAGGGUUUCCCUGACUGUUUGGCACUGAAAUCUCUAUUAUUUUUGUCACUGUUCCUGGAUAUAGGUUGGCUUUUUGUUUGUUUGCUUGCUUGGUUGUGUGGACAACUGAUGACUUACUCUUCCCUACAGCAUUGCCAUGUGCUAGAGCCAGGGGGACAACACCAGAGACUUCUACCAAUCUCAGCGACGUUCAAUCAUUUCUCUUGAAGGUAUUCUUUUCACAUUUGUUGUAUGGCCCUGGUCAAUGUACAGGAUAUUAAGGUGGUUGUUUUUGAUAACUGUAUCCAUUGUAUAUGUUUUGGAGAAGGUUUGCCAUUCUUUGUACAGAUAGCCCAGGCAGUAAGUCUCCGUAAGAAUGAAGACCCAAGUUUGAUUUCCAGCCCCCGUAUGGAAAGCAGGACAUGGUGGUAAACAUGUGCAAUCCCAGCUCUAGGGAGGCUGAGACAGGUGGCUCCUUGGUACUCGUUGGGUAGCCCUGGGUCCUAGUGAAAGACUGUCUUAAAAACACAAGCCUUGCUGCUGAAUGAUGUGUUUGAUAGGCAUGAGAGCUGGUGGAUAUUAGUCGCAUCCUCUCUCUGGAAGCACGCAUGGUCCUUCCUGAUACCAUGGAAGCUCCUCCUCAGGGAGGAGGCUCUCAGGUCAGUCCACCUCAGGAGCAUCUGGGCCCUGUCUGAAGUGCGUGGUAUCUUCAGCAAUAGGGACAACUCUUCCAUCUCUGGGAGGUGGCCAAGGGCAGCAGGAAUAGGCUGUGUUCAGGGGUUCUCUUGACAGUUUUGGAUAACUACUCAAAAGAGGACUUCUCAUGUCUGGUAUCAGGGUUUCUGUUAGGAGAACUUUGACUCUUGGGUCACUACCAGCCCAGAACCUGAAGGAUGACAGACAUACGUUAGUGACAACCGUCAGCUGUCUAAUCGGACUUAAGGCCCACUCAAUAAAGGGGAAGUUCUCUCUGGUACUAGAAACCCAGCUAACUUCUCAGUGCUUGCGAAUGCAUGGUUAGUGGAAAAGACUUUAUAACCACUAACUUAGUAAACCAGCAUAAGUGCUAGCAAUCUACAAAUAUUUGUUCUUAUACCCUCAGAUCAAUCUAGGGUUUCAUUAACCCCUUAUCAGUGAAACUCUGCUUUGCAACAGAGAGCACAAUAAAAACCACAGCCAAUCACAAUGCAGAGUGGUGAAGCCUACUCCCCUUAGAGAGCACAAUAAAAACCACAGCCAAUCACAAUGCAGAGUGGUGAAGCCUACUCCCCUUAGAGAGCACAAUAAAAACCACAGCCAAUCACAAUGCAGAGUGGUGAAGCCUACUCCCCUUAGAGAGCACAAUAAAAACCACAGCCAAUCACAGUGCAGAGUGGUGAAGCCUACUCCCCUUGGAUACGUGUACAAACAGUCCUGUACCUCGUGUUCAGGGGACAUUGCCGAUGACGGGACAGGAAGACUGGAGGAGCCACAAGACUAGAGUUUACUGUGAGGUUCUGUUUCCUAGUAACAUUAGGAGCCACGCCCAUGAAGUCUCACCAGCAUAUCUGCCCAAAUGUGAACUGAACCGGGAUGACUCCAGUGGCCAUGGCUGAAGUGGAAAGAAGAAAGCCCACGAAGUCUCAACCUUAUGACAAACCAGAGGCAGCCGAGAAAUGCUGGGAGUGAGAGUGGGCGUCUUCCGCAGGGCAUGAGCAAGUUUUCAGGGAGAAAAGGCAAGGGGGAAACUUUGUGAUCCCAAAAACCUUUUUAAAAGUAAGAACAAGGGCUGAAAGAUAGCUCAGUGGUUAAGAGCACUGCUCUUCCAGAGGUUUUGAGGUCAGUUCCCAGCCAACCAGAGGGUGGCUCAUAACCAUCUGUAAGGGGAUCCCUGUCCUGGUGUGUCAGAAGAGAGCAACAGUGUGCUCACAUACAUACAAUAAAUAGGUAAUCUUUAAAAAAGAAAGUAAAAUCAAAGCCAACAUCAAGUCAGGUGACCUGAAUUCAGAAACAGAUGCAAAGAGACCCUAUUCUACGAGGUGUGGUAGUGUGACCAUACACAAACUGAGACACACAAAAUAAAUAGAAUGUCACAAAGGGUUAAAAGGAAAAUAAAACCAAAUCACAAGGAGCUCCUUAGGACCCAUGCUCGAGUCUUGGCCUCCACAUGCAAGCACACGUGUAUAGCUGCACACGUGUAUACACACAAACACACCCACUCAAGUUAGUUUCUUUAGAAAUAUAUCCCUCCAAGUGUUCGUAGUUCAGUUGUUUCUAGUUAUUUCCGAUUCAGGCAAAACUCGAGCCCUCGUUGGGGAGAACGCCUGUGGUGAGACGGGUCCGCUCCCUGUCCUUUACACUGUAGUCACACAUCUUAGACAUCUACACAUGGCUGCCACGGUUUGGGUUAAAUAGCCAUGGGGCCUGCAGGAAUGCCAUCAGGAGAGAGAGAAAGUUCUAGUAAGCAUACUUGACUUGUGUUCUGCAUCUGUGAACAGUGCUUUUUUCUUCAAGCUUAGGAGUCUCCCAACAACAAAGAAAGUCUCUGUAUCUUAUGGGGAGUACCUAGAAGAGUGUGUCUAGUCUUUUCAUUGUGUAAAGCGUGCAGAUAGUAAUUUGGGUAAAGGUACUGUGUAUACACAUCCUGACCCAUGUACACACAAAACACCUUCAUCCUUUGCAAUCUUACUUCCCGAACUUACGUACCUUCUACCACGGGAGAAAUCGCACCUCUCCAACCACGGGCUUUCACAGCUACAUGACCAUUAGUCACCACCGUCUCCCAGAAGCACGUAUUUCCUGACUAUUCAGUAUAUAGCACUAUAACUGGGCACAGCUUUUUAGGUUGGGUAUCUGUUUAGAGAAGAUUGUUUUAUUUUUUUUAGUGAAUAGAUAUAGUCUCCAUGUCAUCUUUUGGAAUACAUCGUUUUUUUUCUUUUGCCCUAACGUUAUCUCUUGGUGAGGAAUACUGCUAAUUUUAUGUUAUAUAUGUAUAUGUGUUAAUAUUAUGCGAUGGAAAUGCUAUUUUAUGCUAUGUGGCUCUACCACAUUUAUCUAUUUUGGAAACUUAAUUUUUAGCAUCUAGAGAAUGUGUUUGUCUAACUUGCCAAGAAUAGGCGCUCCAGGCUCUUGUUUUAUUCAUUGUCUGUGAGAGCUCUUAGCUUAUCUCUGUUUUAAACACGAACCACGCUUCGACGCAGGGUCUCCACACUGGACAUUCCACCUGGCAACAGCCCAGUCUCUUUUUCUUAAUUUAUGUGAAAUUGGUAAACUUUACAUUUGUGUACAACUUUGAAACAGUAUCGUCUGUAGCCCAGGCUGGCCUCCAGUACACUGCAGUCUUCCUGCCUCAGCCUCCCAAAUGCUAGAAAAUAAGUCCUGAGUGCCCAUUCUGGUUAGGUUGCAGAAGUCAUAGCAAAGUUGUCUGUACUGAUCACUUUUCUGUACUUGUAGAUAAAUUGUUACUUGGCGGUGCGUUCACACCCUUGUUUAUUGACCCCUCAUAGAAUGUAGCAGGGUGACUUACACCUGAGGUAAAAAUAGCUCCAGGGAAAGCUGACUAGACACAAUGCUUUACACUACAAAUUUUCUUUAAACAGGCAAAUGAGGUAGUUCCAAUGCUUAGUUAUAUUAUUUCAUCAUUCUACACAAAACAGCAGAGACACGGGACUAACCUCUGAAGUUAUUCAAAAGUCAGGUACUUUUUAAAUCUGCAUAAUCAUUCUUCAUUGGUGCCCUUGUCUAAGGACCGUUAUUCUUUCUGUUUUUCAAAGAAUUUUCUUUGUCUCUUGGUGUGUGUGUGUGUGUGUGUGUGUGUGUGUGAGAGAGAGAGACAGACAGACAGACAGACAGACAGACAGACAGACAGACAGAGACAGAGAGACAGGGAGGGGAUGGACAGAAAGCCAGGAUGUUUGUACACAAGUGUAUGCAGCUGUACAAGCCCCUGAGUGUGGAGGCCAGGCAGGGAUAUCAGGUAUCCUGCUCUAUCACUUCCUGCCUACUCUGUUGACACGUUCUCUCGUUGGGCCUGUAGCUGGGCUGGCAGUCAGUAAACCCCACCAAUCCUCCUGUUUUUCCCCAGCACAGAGCUGGGGUUACAGGUGCAUCUGUCUGUCUGUCUGUCUGUCUGUCUGUCUGUCUGUCUGUCUGUCUGUCUGUCUAAGCAUAGCACCAGCAAAGCACCGAGUGCCCUGGAUUAGAACUAAGACUCCAGGAGAAGGAGCUGUAUCCUUGGGAUAGACGUAAGACUUUUAACCCUUCAUUCACUCUCUCUUCCUUCUGCAAAAUGAAUGAUGUGGGAGACACUUAGCUGAAUAGUUGUUCAAGUCUUGUAGUUUUAAAGCUAUGUAGAAUUUACAUUACAAACACAUGAGGCUGACUCCUUUGGGGUCAGGAAAUGGAACCUCUGAAUGUGGUGUACCCAUAGUGACUUGCAAACCUUAGCUUCUCUGCUCCAGUGGUUUUGUUAGCGCUCUCCUCUGGCAUAGAGGAUCUCCUUCCUCUCAUUAGCUCUAGCAGAGUCCUGACAUUGUGUGAUGUCAGGUCCUGCUAUCUCCAGAAGGGAACCACCGUGUCUCCUAAAUAUGCCAGUCCACUGAGCUUUUCUCUUACUGAGCUGUGGUAACAUUUGCUACCCAGAGCAGUAACUCUGCUUCCUCUUGAUUGUCUGUAAAUCUCUCCUACUCCAGGCUAUGCACUUUUUUUUUCAUGAGCCUGAAUUAUUCCUUUUUUUCCUCCAUCUUUAUUAACUUGAGUAUUUCUUAUUUACAUUUUGAUUGUUAUUCCCCUUUCCGGUUUCCCAGCCAACAUUCCCCUAACCUCUCCCGCUCCCCUUCCAUAAGGGCGUUCCCCUCCCCAUCCUCCCCCCAUUGCCGUCCUCCCCCCAACAAUCACAUUCACUGGGGGUUCAGUCUUAGCAGGACCCAGGGCUUCCCCUUCCACUGGUCCUCUUACUAGGAUAUUCAUUGCUACCUAUGAGGUUGGAGCCCAGGGUCAGUCCAUGUAUAGUCUUUAGGUAGUGGCUUAGUUCCUGGAAGCUCUGGUUGGUUGGCAUUGUUGUUCAUAUGGGGUCCCGAGCACCUUCAAGGUCUUCCAGUCCUUUCUCUGAUUCCUUCAACGGGGGUCCUGUUCUCAGUUCAGUGGUUUAACAAAUGAUGGCAUUCGCCUCUGUAUUUGCUGUAUUCUGGCUGUGUCUCUCAGGAGCGAUCUACAUUCGGUUCCUGUCGGCCUGCUCUUCUUUGCUUCAUCCAUCUUAUCUACUUUGGUGGCUGUAUAUGUAUGGGCCACAUGUGGGGCAGGCUCUGAAUGGGUGUCCCUUCUGUCUCUGUUCUAAACUUUGCCUCUCUAUUCCCUGCCAAGGGUAUUCUUGUUCCCCUUCUAAAGAAGGAGUAAAGCAUUCACAUUUUGAUCAUCCUUCUUGAGUUUCAUGUGUUCUGUGCAUCUAGGGUAAUUCGAGCAUUUGGGCUAAUAGCCACUUAUCAAUGAGUGCAUAUCAUGUGUGUUUCUCUGUGAUUGGGUUACCUCACUCAGGAUGAUAUUUUCCAGUUCCAUCCAUUUCAGGCUAUGCACUUUUACUCUCAUUAUGCUUCUCUGUUAAAUAGACAUACUGAUUAAAGCUUGGUUUUUUUAAUUUAGAGAUGGCUACACGUGAAAUUUCUUUGUGCAAAUUGCUUUUUAACAAAAUACUUCUUUUGGACAACAACAAAAAAAGGGACUGAUUUAUCGGGGACAUUAAUAGUGAAUGGCCAUUUUAGGCCACACAUGGCUGGAUCCCUCAUGUAAAAUAAUGACAAGGAGUAUAAGAGUCUAAAACUGAGAUGUGGGGGAGGAGGGAAGUGUGACGCAGAAUAUAGUGGUAUUUUGAUGAAAGUGUCAAACAAUGAGGGUGGGAGGGUGUUCUGGUGAGUAAAGGCAGCUCCUGCCCAGCCCAGUAACAUGAGUUCAAGCCCUGGGACUCACACGUAGGAGGAGAGAACCAACUCCCACAAGCUGUUCUCUGAUCUCUGCGUAUGCACCAUGGUAAACAUACACCACUAGAAAAAUUAAAGCUAGCAUUUAAAGGGUUUUUGUGAUGUUUGUAACUAUGACUGCAUCUUGAGGAGAUAAUCCUAAAUCACAAAAAAAAAAAAAAAGGAAAAGAAAAAUAUUUGGGUUGGGGAUUUAGCUCAGUGGUAGAGCGUUUGCCUAGCAAGCGCAAGGCCCUGGGUUCGGUCCCCAGCUCUGGGGAAAAAAAAAGAAAAAUAUUUAUAUGAAAACAGUCAUGGUAGGCUUAUAUUUACAUUAAUGUUCCAAGAUAACCUUUGAGCAAACAUAUCCACUAUGAGAGAAUGCCAUAGAACUUGGAAAAUGGGAGUCUGAAUUUCUACAGAGCAUAAGGUAACUGUUAACCAAAAGAAGAAAUGAGAUUGUAGACCCUUCUACAUCUUGUGACCAGAAUGUUCCUCAGCUCAGGGAGUUCUCAGCACUUUGUCCAAGCAGAAGCGGAAGCCCCCAAUGUGGGUCCCUUAAAGUCACUAGUGUGCCGGGCGUCCUCAAUGAUCGGUUCACUACGUGGGAUUUCCUAGGAGCAAGCCAAUGUAUUCAUAAAUGAGUACGUAAUCUAAUAAAGUAAAUGGAUUUUGCUUGAUCUAAAAUAGACAGGGUACCGAGCUCUCAAUAUUUUGAAAGCUCCUGUUUGGGAACAUCUGCCUUGAAAUAACUGGUUAAUUUUAAUCAGGUUAAAAAAACAGAAAAGAACAAUGCCAGCAAAUGGGCGGCAUCAGGAAAGGGAAAGAGAAUAUACUGAGAAACAGAACUGAAACCUUACUAAUAGGAAGGACAGGAAAGGAAACCGAAACUCAGCCAACAGCACAAUGAAAACAAAACCCCGAACCAGGUAGGGUUUUAAAAGCCAGCAUUAUCAGAAAGUCAAAGUUCCCCAGGUGAUAAAGUGUACCGGAAAUGAACGAACUGUCUGACUUCGUUAUUCAGCUGAAAAAGGAGAGAUGUGUCAGCUUGACAAACCACAGGGCAUCGAGGCAUCUCGCACCGGGAGGGACUUAGUUCCCUUCCAGUCACCAGAGUUUGCUGGAGUGGCACAGGAGCACAUGAAAAUUGAAUCCGAGGAGAGUGGAGCUGCAAGAGGGAGGCAUGAGAGGGAAAUGCUGGGGCUCUUCGCCCGCUGUGCUCAUCAGAGGCCUCUGGGAGAACAGGACAAAUCAAUAGCACAUACGCAGCAGUGGAGUGAGGCCCAGGAGACGAAGAUGAGGGGCACAGGGCAUGGAAGCAGUGCGCACAAGCUCCUGUCUUCAGAACAGCCCCAAAUACUGCUGACGCAGCUUCUAGAUAAGAGGUGCUCAACCUGUGGCUGCUGGCCCUUUCACAGGAGUCACCCGCGACUAUCGGACAGUGUCAUAUUUACACUGUGAUUUGUGACAGCAGCCAAAUUACAGUUAGGAAGUUGCAGUGAAAAAUAAUUUUAUGGUUAGGGAUUACCACAAUUCAAGGAACUGUAUUAAGGGUGGCAGGCGGCAUUAGGAAGGCUUGGAACCACUGAUUUACAGUUGUUCUCCUGGUGUCCCCACCCCUCUGGCUCCUACACUCCUCCUGCCUCCUUACACCGGUUUACUGCACUCUAAGGGAAGGGAUUUACAGGAGAGCUCCCAUUUAGAGCUCAGUGUUCCAACGUUUCAGUCUUUGUGCAAUGUCUGAAAAGCCCAGUUUUAAAUUAGGGUUUUGUCUUCUUGGUUCUUUGGGUUGUUCGUUUUAUGAGUUGUUUGUAUAUUCUGGAUAUUAAUUAUAUAUCAUAUAUGCCAUGUAUAUCAUAUAUAUAUAUAUAUAUAUGAUAUAUAUGGCAAAGAUUCUCACUCUAUGGGUUCCUCUUUACUUGAUUGAUUGUUUCCUUGGUAGUACAGAGGACCCACUUCUCAAUUGUUGGUCUUAAUUCCUGGGCAAAAGGGUACCCUACUCAGAAACUCCUUUCCCACCUCUACAUUGUGUAGGGUAUGGCCUAUAUUUUCUUUUAGCAGGUUCAAUAUUUUAGGUGCCACAUGAGUUCUUUGACCCAUUUCUAGACAACUUUUGAGCAGGGUGAUAGAUACAGCUAUAAUUUCAUUUUUCUACACAUGAACAUUGUUUUCUUAGCACAAUAGGUCGAAGGUCUUGCCUUUUCUCCAAUGUAUGCUUUUAGUAUCUUUGUAUAUCAUGGUUGGGUCUUCUAAACCAAUUCUAACUUGGUUUAGAAGAUCAGUAGCUUUUCUAGACACCAACAUUCUCAGAAAGAGCUCAUGGACACGUUCCCAUUCACAAUGUGAUAGGAAUCAGCCUAACCAAAUAAGUGAGAGACGUCUACAAUGAAAGCUUCAAAUCUCUAAACACGUAGGUUGAGCAAGACACUAGAAAAUGGAAUGUCCUUCCAUGCUGAUGGGCUGGUUGAGUCUAUUAUGACAAUGGUGAAUCUACCAAAAUCAAUGUACAGAUUCAAUACAAUCCCUUCCCCACCCAGCCUGAACUGCCAACCACAAAUUGCUUUUUUGCUUUCAAAGGUUCAUCUAUUCUUGAUGGACUGUAUAAAUAGAAUCCGACAUGUGGUGUCAUCUUAAGUCUGGCUUCUUUCACUUAACACGUUUUCGAGGUUCCCUCAUGUUUCAAGUGUUGCACGAGUACUGAAGCGCUGGAGCUCCUUUAUAUUCCAGUGUUGUAUACAUUUACUUCUCAGAUUUAAUGUCCCAGUAAGUCCAUCACAAAGUGAGAAGUUUGUGAACUGUAAGUGAAUUUUGUAUUACAUAUAACUUCAUAGCUCAGCUACACAGUACACAGUACACAGUACACAGUACACAGUACACAGUACACAGUACACAGUACACAGUACACAGUACACAGUACACAGUAUGCCAUGGGCCAUCUGCUGUUACCAUGAGAGCAUGGGACUGACUGGGAGCUGUGACCUGCUUCCACUGCGCAGCAACUGAAGAGAAGAUCUUCCUGCAUGUAAGCCUCAAAAGAAAACCCCAAACAUACAGAAGGCUUUCACACUAGAGGCGAAAUUAGUGGCUAGAGUGAUUGUUCAGUAAAGUGCCAAGUAGGCAUGAAGUCCUAUAAUCAGUCCCCCUUCCCCUAUAUAAAAACCUAGUCGUGGAGGUACAAAUAUAAUACUAUUGCUAGGAGGCAGAGAAAGACAGAAGGAGCCCUAGGCUUGCUGACCAGCUGCUGCUCUAAUCAAAUCAGCAAACUCCAUUUUCACUGAGAGCUUGUCUCAAAAAAUAAGGUGUAGAGCAAUUGAGGAAGACACCCAACAUUGACGUCUGGGCUGUGCAUGUGCAUGCACACAUGCGCAUGCACACACACAUACACACACACACACACACAAGCACAGCACACGAAACAACACAAAUGCACACAUGCACACACCUGUGCAAACACACAUGCAUACCACAUGCAAACAUAUGCACACAACAUGCACACACACAUACAUGCACAUAAACGCACAUACACAUGCAUACACGUAUGUGCACACUCACCCACACCCACAUCACUCACAUGUAUAUACACUUACAUGAACAUAUAUACACACAAAGUGUUUUAUCAAACCAUCAUCGAGCUAGCAACUGACUACAUAAUCCACAUUUGGUUUAUUCAUCUACCUUGUUGAUGAUCAUGUAAGUUCUUUUACCCUUUGGUUAUUGUCAGUAGUGCUACUGUCAACAUUUGUGUACAAGAAUGACUUUGACAACACUUGUCAUUUCCCAUUUCAACAGCAACUAUCCUAGUGGAUAUAAAGUGUGUCUUAUGGCCUUAAGAAUGUUUCCUGUAUUUUUGAGACUGUAAUAUAAUUACACUUGUUUCCUCUCCCCUUCCUCUUCACAGGCCAUCCCAUAUACCACUCCUUGCUCUCUUUCAACUUCAUGAUUUUUUCAUUGUUCUCUCUUCCUCUCCCUCUUCCUCUCUCUUAAAUGUGUAAGUACAACUUGCUUAGUCUAUGAUGACUGGGCAGGAGAAAGAGGAAGGCAGAACUUGAGACCAAGUAGGGAUCAUGAGGAGAAAGCAGAGGAGGUAGAAAAAGGAGGUUGCCAUGAGGCAGGCCAGGCCAGGAGCAUGUGGCUAAGAGAAGCUCACAUUGAGGACACACAUGAAACAGAGCAGGACUCAGUUGGCAAGUAGUGGGGCAUUUACCUGGUUAUUGAUAGCCUAGUUGCCAAGUGGUGGGGCAUUUACCUGGUUAUUGAUAGCCUGGUUGCCAAGUGGUGGGGCAUUUACCUGGUUACUGUUAGCCUAGACAAAUUAUAAUAUUCUCAGAACCUGUGCACUGCAGAUUUUCAGCUUGUUAAUAAAUUCUGAUGUCUCUGUGCUGUUUACUCAAGAGCAAUACAGUAAAGAGUGAGACAGGACACCCCCCCCCAAUCACUUCAGUAUUCAGAGUGAACCACUUAGCAUUGGAUAACCAAUUGGUGCGUUUUUCCCCGAGGAAGCCGACUUCUCCUGUUCUUAUUGUACCUUAGUUGCCUGUAGAUCUUUACGUAGGGUUGAGACCUCAAUGACUUUCCCCAUCCACUUUAGCGCGUCUUUUGUAGUCGUUCUUGCUCAGCUCACAUUUGGAAAGUUGUGUUGACGAGACUUUAUGGGUGUAACUUCUGACAUUCUUAGGAGACACCAUCUCAUAGCUAGCUGCCUGGUCCUCUGGUUCUUGCAAUCUUUCCAUUCCCUCUUGCACAGUGCUCCCUGAGUCUUGGGUGUUUUGUAGAUGUACCCAUCGGGAGUGGGCUCCACAACUCUGCAUUUCCAUUUGUUGCAGUUUUUGAUUUGUUGCAGUUUUCUGUAGUGGUCUCCAAGUAUCGCACAGAGUUUUGUUGACAAAGAGUAACUUCAUUUAUGUGAGAGUAUAAAGACAAGUGUUUAGAUUGUUGUUAGGGAUCCUGUGGGUUUAGUGAAGUAGUUGUAGGUUCUCUUUCAACAUCCAUGACGUCACUGAACCUGGGUAAUUGGCAAGAUUUCCAGUACUAGGCUCAGUUCCCCUCUUGUUGAGCAGGUCUUAAGUCCAAUUCGAGAGCUGUUGGUUAUCACCAAGGUAUGUGUGCCAUACUGGACCCUUAAGAUUAUUGUGCCAUGUGGCCAUUGUUGUAGUUCACAGGAGUUGGCUGGGUAGGAUUGUUGGUGGCUUCCCUCCUUUGGAAGCUUGCAUGGUGCCUUGCGGUACUGUCAAAGCUGGUCCUUAGGGAGAAUGUUUCCAGGUCAGUUCCAGUUCAGGGUCCUCUGGGGCAUACGUCUGAAAUGUGUGGUGUCUUCAAAAAUAGAGACAAACCUUCCACAUCCUGGAGGCCACCAAGGGUAAUAGCAAUUGCUAUGUUUUGGGAGCCUCUUGGACAACUGUUACCAACAACUGAAAAGAGGGAUUCUCAUGCCCAGUAUUGAGGUUUUUGUAAGAUGGUCAUUGGCUCUUAGAGGCAACAUUGUCAGCCCCGAUGGGAAGUUUUCAUUCAGACUCUGCGUGUAUGUAUACUGACUUACUGGCAUCGUGGGUAUUUUAGGUGGACAGUGAGUAGCAACAUCCCUUAUGACCCUUCCAGUUAUUCUCACUGUUACUUUCUUCCCCUCCCUCCUUUUGCUGUGUUUACUUCCUCCCUUUUCCCUAACACAGCCCGUCCUUUUCCUAUCCCCUGUCCCCGGUCAGGAUCAGAUCCUUGUACCCUACCUUUCCCUCUCUAUUGCUCCCUCACCCACCCACCCUGGCAAUAGUCACUCCAUUUUACAUUCUUUGUGCCGGCACUCCUCCAGGAUGUGUGCUUACAUCUGACGACUCGGAGCUUGGAGCUCAAGUUAGUGAGAACCGUGAUGUUUGUCUUUCUGGGUCUCGGCUGCUCAGUCAGUAUGAUCUUUUCCGGUUCUGUCCAUUUACAAAUCCAGCUCCUGGAGAGGGGUCUUACUAUGGUCUCCAUGUUCCUAUCCACCACUCACCCUCCCAUGUGCCUACUGUCCCAUUAAAAUAUCUUCUUUGGAGAAAUAUACAUCUUUUUUGGGGGGCUACCUUUAAUUGUGUCUUCUUGUUGAGCUGUAAGGUUUUUUUAACGUGUAUAUCCUGGUACAAAUCUCUUACAGAUAUAUGGUUUGAAAAUAUUUUCUCUCAUUGUGAAAUGUUGUCAUUUUAUUUUCUCAAUUUUUUUAUGCACUAAGCUUUUUUUUUGUGAGAUAGGAUCUCACUAGGUAUCCCUCACUGGGUUGGAACUCAAAAUGUAGGGCAGGUCUGUCACAAACUUACAGAGAACCCUUUGCCUCUGUCUCCCAAGUGCCAGGAUUAGUGCAUGUGUUACCUGGAUUCCAUUCUGAAGUUCUAUGAAAUCCAGAAAUUAUUUUUCUUGUGUGGAUUAUUCUUUUGAGCUAUCUCUCAGUGUCUAGCCUCAAAUAGGAGGCCAUAAAACUUACCCCUCUGUUUUCUCCUGAGAGUUUCAUAGUUUCAGCUUCUAGAUUUAGAUAUUUGACCUAUUUGAAUUAAUUUUUGUAUAUAAUAUAAAUUAGGAGCCCAAUGUCAUUCUAUUGCAUAUGGAUAUCUAAUGCUGGGGCAGACUAUUCUUCUGCAUUCUUUUGUCUUGGUAUUGUUGUUGAUUGGUGAUAGAUAAAUGCUAUUGUUUCUGAACUCUAAAUUCUAUUCAUUGACCCAUAUAUCCUGUGUGUGUGUGAGUGUGUUGGGAUGGCCUGCCUUCUACAGAGACAGGAAAGAAAAUACUUCAGUACAUUCUAUCUAGAGUUCAAAUGUAUGGUUGCCUGUUUUCUGUGGCUGUAACAGAGUAUCUGAGUCUAGGUAAUUUAUAAUGACAGAAGGUUUAUUUUGGCCCUGUUUCAUGAAGCCAGCAAAGUUCCAUAUUUAGAGGGCGUUUCUAACGAGGGCCUCAGCUUCUGGAACUCACAACAGAAAGUAGGAGGGAUCCCAUGACAAUGAAGGAGUGCUGAGAAAGCCAACUUGAUUUUGUAACAACUGACUCCUCCCAGUAAGUAAUCCAGUUUCACAAGAGAGAGCACUGACUGGCAUGAGGCUUCUGGUUCUGUGAGGUCAGCACUUUCCAUGAAGCCUCCCUCCCAUCAGUGCCAGUCACAUUGAGCAAUGAAGGCUCCAACCCACGAGUGGGAAACACUCACAUUGCAGCCCUCUUGUCAUGCUUCGGUGGCAGAAGACUACUGUUAACAUUAGGCAUGAGCCCUGCCAACAAGGACACCGAGAGCAGUGCCUAGGGAAUUUCUCAAGAACUGGAAUGUUUAAACAGAAGCAGCCUAAUGCAAUUGUGCUUGGCAGACCUUUCCAAGAAGCACAGCUUGAAUUUUCUUGCCGGAUAAAUUCCUUCUAUCGAUACAAGAUCAACAAGUCAAGAAAAGAAAAGUACAUCAAGGACAUGGCAAGCAACUUGGAAAUGUUGUCAAAGUGCCCAGUGGGGCAAGAGACAUUAAUUAGAAUGGCUCACUUGGCAUUACCAUAUGCCAUCUCCCUCCUCAGCCUUUGAACGUGAGAAUGCGCUGUUAGUUAUUUCUCUGUUGCUGUGAUAAAACACUAUGACCGAAGGCAAUUUAAAGAAGAAAGGGUUAAUUUAGCUUACAGCUUCACAGAGAUAGAGUUUAUAAUAACAUGAGAGCAGGAGCAGGAAGCAGAGAUCCAGUUUCAUCAGAAUGGGAACAGGAGGUGAGGUGAGGCUAUGAGGCCUUGAAACUGCUCCCCAGUGACAUACUUCCUUCAUCAAAGCCAUGACACCAAAGGUUCCAUAACUUCCCCAAACAGUGCCACCAACUAGGGACCAAGUGUUCAAAUACAUGAGCCAAUGGAGGACAGUCCUCAUUCAAACCACAACAGUGGUCAAACUUCCUAAGAUUAAAUUCAAUUUAACUAUAUGUGAUAAAGCUUGUAAAAAUCAUUUAAUAUUUUGAUUAAAUAAAACUUUAUUUAUAGUCUGUGUAUUUCCAUUUAGAUAAUUAGAACACAUUGUUUAUAUUUAUAUUAUUAAUAUAGUUCUUAUUUAGACAUUUACAAAUAAUUAUCUAACAAUUUAUUGAGUGUUUUCUAUCUUGCUAGAAGGUAUUUAUUACCUUACAAUAAAUACUAUAUGAUUGCCUUGUAUGAGCUAUUAUGUAGGCUCUGUGUCCCAGAUCGGUUUUGUAGCAGAUCUAGGUUGCAGAGUUGUUAAGUGUUCAGAUGGUUCUGCCUGCUCUGGUUCUACUGGCUUCGGGCUGAGUUCUAGCUAACUAGAUCCCAUAUCCUUAGCUUCUAAAUUCAGCCAAGACCCAUGGGAGGUCUUGGUUUUUCCACAUAGAAUUUGAAUAAUAUGCUAAGAGAACUCUCAAAAGAACUAGAAAAGAAGAAAACACCAAAUCAUAAACAUUGAACAUGUGUCAGUGGAUCCCAAAAGAAGGAAACUUCCUCAUGCCCACUAGUCCAUGAAAAUCUUUUCCUAGACCCAGUUUUUUUCACAUUACCCCAAUAUCCCUUUCUUGGGUUCCAGAAAUGGACAUUAUGAAUUCAUUUCUGAGUAAACCCACUUCUAUUCCUAGAUUCCUAACCUCCACAGGGGUAUGGGACAUGAUUGCUAGCAGAGGAAGGCCUAUAGCUCAUAUGUCUAAAUAUUUAACAGUUGUAAAUCCAGUCAACAAACCGUUAAAUAGUGUGAUAGCAUCCUUCCUUGAUAAAUACAACUUUACGUGACUUAGAGACUGGUCUAACCUUGGCUUUCCUGCCCCUGUCCCUGACAUUCUUGCUUUAUUUCAAGGGGGGGCUAUUCAGAUUGUUUGUCCAUACUGCAGCCAGUACCCAAGAUCCUUAUUAUUUCUUAAAAGUGCAUGUGAUCUAUAGUAAAUUCAGUGACAUUUUAGAUUUUAAAUAAAGAUGGGAGGGGGGAGAGGGAGAGGGAGAGAGAGAGAGAGAAAAGAAGGAGGAGGAAGAGAAGGAGGAGGAGGAAGAGGAGGAGGAGGAAAAGGAGGGGGAGGAAGAGGAGGAAGAGGAGGAGGAGGAAGAGGAGGAAGAGGAGGAGGAAGAAGAGGAGGAGGAGGAAGAGGAGGAGGAGGGAGAGGGGGAGGAAAAGGAGGAGGAGGAGGAAGAGGAGGAAGAAAAGGAGGAGGAGGAAGAGGGGGAGGAAAAGGAGGAGGAGGAGGAGGAGGAGGAGGUGGAGACAGAGGAGGAGGGAAGUGAACAUGUGUUUGUAUGCUUGACUAGGCAAUGUGACUCACAUACCCAGAGUCAAGCACAUCAGUGUUAGGCUUCCCUGCUCAGAGGCCCCUCCAGUCUCUGCCUGAGCCUCCCUUUCCUCACAGUUUAUCUUAAUCCAUUCUGUGUUGCUAUAACAAAAUAUCAAGCACUAGGGAUAAAGAAAAUGUAUUUUGGCUCAAGGUUUUGGAACCUGAAAUGUCCAAGCUCUGGUGGCAACACAGGACGUGAGAGCAAGCUAGAGAGGAAAGAGCAAUGGAGGAAACGGUGAGGCGUGGGGAGCCCUUUUCAUAAACACUUUCCCUCAUGGUAACAGCACAGCCAGCAAGAGAAAGAUUCGCUGCUGUGUGCGCGUGUGCGUGUGCAUGUGUGCGAGUGCGCGCUCACGCACGUGUACACAUAUAUUUUGGAGCUUGCCUUGAGGUCAGUUCUCCUGCCACGUAGGCCCUAGAGACUGAACCCACACUGACCCUUGGUAGUGAGUGAACAUGUGCUGAGCCAUCUCACAAGCUCCAUUAAAUCUCCAAGUCUUCCUUUGGAGACCAACAUGGAUGGGGGAGGUACAAACUACAAGACAGAGUUGGGGCCCAUAGGACAUGGCGUCCUGCUUGCUAUUGGCUCAGUAAACGCAGUAAGUUCAGAGACUGGGAGUUCUGCUGAGAAGGACCCCAGCUCACUCCAGGGCAGAGAUCUUCCCUUCAGGACUGUCCCUCUGAGUGGAUCUUACUGUCCUGACACUGUGUGACCCUCUAGGCCUCGGGGACACAAGGUUUCCUAGGGGGCAGGGGCAGAAGUCGAGUUGAGACGUGACAGAUGCUGCAAGUGGUCUGCUGUGGAGGGAGGGCCAGCAGGUAGGACACGGUCCAUUUAAUAUUUAAAAAGCAAAAAUGAGCUCUCUACUCCAGUCAGCUACUGGCCACUGUGAUGUGAAGUCCGUCCAAAGACAGGAGGUACAAAUCUGACCCGGUAUUUCGCCCCUUGGCCACAGAGUUGUCUUUCUUUGUAAGACCGGCCUCACUGCUCAAAUAGUCAUAGUCUAUACUUUUUUUUUUUCACCCAGUUCAGCUAGGACAUCUGACUGGAACUCACAGUGAGGAAACUGAUUCUUGCCCCAGGUCCUGGCAGGAGACACCCUGGUGAACAGAAUAGCUGCAUUCCUUUGGGUGGGGGUGGGGUUGGGGGAACUGAUCUUGAUCAGCGUACAGUGGGAAUCAGGCUGGAAUUAGCCGGUCAGAAGUCUCAGAAGUGUUAGCAACUGGGUAAUUUCACAGCUGCCCAGGUAUAAAUGUUUACAGUUUUGAGCCUUUCUUUUUCUGGUUCAGUCUCAUUUGCAUUUCACAGCAAACUUCUGGGAUCUCCUAAGACUGGACCAUUCAACCACUAACUAGCUCCUUCACUAGGAGAGAUCGUGGCAGCCAGCCUCCUUUUGAGGUCUCUGUGUUUGCAUCCCAAUAUUCUCCAAAAUUCAUUAAGUUUGAGUAAGUCAGCCAACAUUUCUCCUGGAAAAUAAUCAGAGAAAUCAGAGGACUUGGGGUAGGAGUUGCAGCUCUGAGGGGGUGGUUUCCUCAGUCCAAUGUCCCGGCUUUGAGGGGUAGGGUGAGAACAGUGCUGUUUCUGCUGCUGGCUCUGCUCCUCACAGCCUUUCACGUUUGAAAUACACCAGGAGCUUGCCCUGAGGGACAGGAUCCUGAUGACCAGUGACCCCCAGCUCAGGAACAGGUUGGGUGGUGUCUCCCUAUGGCAGGGUGUUGGUUUCGAUUACAAACACCAGAAGCCACAGGUGGCAUGAGAAAAUGCCAGGACCAGCCCAGGUCACACCUCUGAUCAAGCCCCAGCUCCUGGAAAGAGUAUCAUUGAUCUUUACAAACCUUCCCGAGAGCCAUGCAGAACAUCUGUCCAGCAUCCAGGAAGCGUUGGGUAAAAGUGGAGCGAAAUUUCUAAGCCAGCUCUUUAUAACUUCCCCCAGCCCCCACUCACCUGCUAGGACGUUGAGCAAUCAAAGAUGAAGGACAGAGUUGUUGAUCCCCCAGGGCAGGUUGAUAGACGUGUGUCUGUCAGUGCUGGACGGCUGUCAGUACUGGACGGCAGCCACACCUCACAAAGAAGACUGGAGGGGACACCACAGUUUCCCCCAGAUUCUAGGAAGCUUGUCAGAGGGCACUGAGUUAGACUGAGAGGAGGUCACAUUCUCCUAAGGACGGCAUCGUGGGUGAGGGCUUGUUGCAGGAGCUUGUUGAACACAGCAAGAAGAGGUGCAAACGUGCGCGCACACACACACACGUUUUCUGGCCCAGAACCUGUGAUUUCUACUCCAAAGCUUAAACGGGUACAGAAAAUUUGAUUCAGGAAUUGUGCUUCUGUAUUUUGUCCCAGACAUUUAAUUUUUUUCAUAAAGCUUGCAUGCAUGUAUGCUCUCUCUCUCUCUCUCUCUCUCUCUCUCUCUCUCUCUCACACACACACACACACACACACACAUCAACAUUAUGUCUAAAAUAGUGAAAUAUUUAUGACCUGAGAACCAUCACAAUAAAGGCUUAAUAACUCAGGAGAUUAUGCUCACACAGCUAUUGAAGUGAUUUAAUGCUAUAUUUUUUAGUGGAAAUGUUUUUAUUAUAUGAAGUAGAAAACGGCAGGAUGCUAAUACUACCCUCAUCAAUACACACAUGCAUCUCUGUAUCUACAUAUCUUUGAAGCAUACAUAAAAAUACUCUUUCUCAAUGUGGCAGCAGAACAACUACCUUCAAGUCUUGAGCGUGUGUCUCUUUGCACCUGAAUGUUCAGCUAUGAAUACAUAGAGUAAUAGUAGUCACAUUUACGACGAUGAACAUGCACUCUGCUGGUCACUAAUCACGGAUCUUUCUUCCUCUUAAACUGCUCAGCCAGGGCCCAGCUUCCCUGCCUGGACAUCGGGAAGGAAGGCUGGAAUCAAAGGCUAAAACUGCCGGCAGCUGUAGGAAGGACAAUCCCACAAGCUUGGGGUUCUAGCACCCCGUGGCAGGCUCAUGGAGUUUCGGAAAUCAGUAAAUCUGAACUAACAUUUUAACGUUAUAGGCAAAGCUCUUCUUGGUGGUGGAAAUGAGGAUGUCUUUUAAAAUGAAAGAAAAUCAUAUUAUUAGCCUGGCAUGGUUGCAUACACAUUUGACCCCAGUCCUUGGGAGGCAAGAAGGCAGGGCAAUUUGAGGCUACCCUGAGCUCUGAACUCCUGAGCGGCAGAGCAAGACCCUGCCGGAAAUAAAGAAGAAAGGAAGGGAGGGAGGGAGGAAGGAAGAGAGUCAUAUUCUUAAUAUCUGCCUCUUUGUAUAUUGUGUUGUCUCUUAGAUGAGAAACAACUUGAAUACUGAAAUGUUCUCACCCAGUAGCUUUCUUUGUCUCUGGCCUAUUGGGUCCAGAGUCAGCUCUGAGAGCCCAGGAGUUUUUAUGGUUUUUGUGCCAGAGUGCAGAAGUGUGCUUGCCACAUACCAGCUGCUCAGUAUAUGGGCUUCUUUUAUCGUAUGUUUUUAGUUUAAAAGCCUCUGCUGUUCUGAGAUACAGGUAUUGUCGUGGAGCCCUGAUGAACCUAGGAUUCACUACAUGGCUAAGUCUGACCCUUGGGUGCUGGGAUUACAUGGGAUUGUGCAUGGCCAUGCCUAGAUGGAAGCUGGGGGUGGGGUGGAGUAAAAUAACCCAUUGAGAGCUGCAAACAAAUGCUGUAUUCAUAAUAAUUACUCUCAAGACAUGAAUUUGUAAGUAGAAUUCCAGAACAGAAUCUCAUUUUUCCAUAUAACUACUUUUUCAAGCAAUCAGCACUCUUUUAAAAUCAGGUAUGAUCUUUAUAAAACAUAGAAAAAUUAAAUAUUUUUUAUUUUUAUUCAUGUUCAUGUAAGUCUUCAUGGAGGAGUAUAUACCUAUGGGCAGGUACCCUGGGAGGUCUGAGACAUCAAAUUCCAAUUUCAGGCAGCCUGACUCUGGUACUAGGAACUGUACUCUAGUCCUUUGCAAGAGCAAUCUAUAUAGAUUCUUAGCUGCUGACCGGCUCUCCAGGCCCAUUUUAAAGGAGAUCUUCGAGAUAUGGUGGUACACACCUUUAGGCCCAGCACUUGACAGAGGCAAUUGCUCUGUGAGUUCAAGACCAGCAGGUCUACCUAGACCGAACCUCAAAAAUGAGCUAGUAAACAAACAAACCGGCCAGAUGUGGCAACAUACCCCGUAAUCUCAACACUUGGAAGCUGAAAACAAAGGAUUGAAACUUCAAGGAGAGCCUAGGCCAUGCAGAGAGACACUGUCCAAAAACAAACAAACAAACAAACAAACAAACAAGUUAAAGUAAGCGCCAGAUUAUUUAUGGAAUUGGAUCUUGUCUGUCCUUAGAUGAGUCACGGCACAUGAUACCUAAGCUUGACCUUUCUCGUCUCCAAAACUAUAACAUAAAACUAGAUUGUAUUGAAUUUUUCCUUUAGCUCAAACAUUUUUAAAAUUAGCUCUGGUUCAAUCAUUUAAGUUAUUAGGGUUUCGAUAAUUUCAUGUUAUUGCAUUUGGAUAUUUUUUAUUUACAUUUAAAAUGUUAUCUCCUUUCCUGGUUUCCCCUCCAGAAACCCGCUAUCCCACCCCCCACUGCUUCUAUAAAGGUGCUCCCUCACCCAUUCACACACUCACUCACUCCCACUUCCCUGCCCUGGCGUUCCCCUACACUGGGGCAUCAAGCCUUCACAGGACCAAGUACCCUCUCCUCCCAUUCAUGCCCAACAAGGCCAUCCUCUGAUUCAUAUGCGGCUGGAGCCAUAGGUCCAUUCCUGUGUUCUCUUGGGUUGGUGGUUUAGUUCCUGGGAGCUCUGGUUGGUUGGUAUUGUUGUUCUUCUUAUGGGGUUGCAAACCUGUUCAGCUCCUACAGUUCUUUCUCUAACUCCUCCAAUGGGGAACCCAUUCUCAGUUCAAUGGUUGGCUGCAAGCAUCUGUCUCUGUAUUUGCCAGGCUCUGGCAGAGCCUCUUAGGAGACAGCUAUAACAGGCUCCUGUCAGCACUUCUUGGCAUCCACAAUAUUGUCUGGGUUUGGUGUCUAUAUAUGGGAUGCAACCCCCAGGUGGGGCAAUCUCUGGAUGGUUUUUCUUUCAGUCUCUGCUCCACACUUUGUCUCCAUAUUUCCUCCUGUGAGUAUUUUCAUUCCCACUUCUAAGAAGGUCUGAAGCAUCCACACUUUGGUCUUCCUUCUUGAGCUUCAUGUGGUCUGUGAAUUGUAUCUUGGGUAUUUCAAGCUUUGGGGGCUAUUAUCCAGUUAUCAGUGAGUGCAUACCAUGUGUGUUCUUUUUGUGAUUGGGUUACCUCACUCAGGAUGAUAUUUUCCAGUUCCAUCCAUUUGCCUAAGAAUUUCAUGAAGUCAUUGUUUUUGAUAGCUGAGUAAUAUUCCAUUGUGUAGAUGUACCACAUUUUCUGUAUCUAUUCCUCUGCUGAAGGGCAUCUGGAUUCUUUCCAGGUUCUGGCUAUUAUACAUAAGGCUGCUAUGAACAUAGUGGAACAUGUGUCUUUGUUGUAUGUUGGAGCAGCUUUUGGGUAUAUGCCCAGGAGUGGUAUAUCUGGGUCCUCAGGUAGUGGAAUGUUCAGUUUUCUGAGGAAACACCAGACUGAUUUCGAGAGUACCAGCUUGCAAUCCAGCAACAAACUUCUAUUACAUGAUUAAUUACAUAAUAACUAAGAUAUAUAAUUAUAUAAAAUUACAUAACAAUUGCACAUUAUUAAUCACAUAAUAAUUACAUAAUAAUAAGUAAAAAUGACAUUUUCAGUUUUAUGCAACAAAUUUGCAAAUCAAUUAUGAACUAGUCAUUGUUCUAAGCAUCAGUGGCCAAGUCUAGUGAUGGAAUUUAUAUUCAGGACCAUUUACUGCUAUCUUUUAAUUCCAAUGACAUACAUUUUGAGUAUCUUCAAAUUCUUGAACUCCACCUCCAUGAAACAUCACAGCCCAGGAUUAGAAAUAUUUAUGGGGGCUGGGGAGAUGGAUUAGUGGAUAACCUGUGCAAGCAUGAGGACAGAAGUUCAGAUCUCUAGAGUCCAAGUAAAAGCCAAGCAGAUGUGGCAGCCACCAGUAAUCCUAGCACUGAGGAGCAGAGAGGAAGCUCUGGGGCAAGCUGACAAGCUAAACUUGGGAUUGGCAAGCUUCAGGUUCAGCCAGCACAGAAUACCUCAAUAAAUGAUGUAGAUCUUGACUUAGGAGGACACUAGCAUCAACUUUGGGCCUUCACAUGCAUGCACCCAUGCAUGCACAUGUGCUCCCACACCUAUGCAAAUACACAUAUACACAUUCAUGCAUGGCACAUGCACAUACACAGGCAAAAUAUUAGAAAACUGUUGCAUCUGUAUUGACCAUUUAUAAUGUUUUUUUUCCUUUUCUUUUUUCUCUAAUGAACAGCACAGCAUAACAGCUAUGAACAUUUCUGUAGAACUGGCUGUUAAAAAAGAUCUAGAGAUGCUUUGUAGUUUAUGAGAAGCUGAGUGUUGGUUAUAUGCAAAUAUCAUACUUUUCAUAUAAAGGACUGGAAUAUUCACAGAUGUUUGCUAUCUUCAGUGAUUUGACACCGGAGACCCUCUGAAAUCAAGAAAUGAGCAAGUUGAGGCUGAAGAGAUUGGUCAACAGUCAAGAGCACAUGCCACUCUUACAUAAGACCCAAGUUCUAUUCCAAACAUCCAUGUCAGGUGGCUUAUAACUUCCUGCAGCUCCAGCCCCUAGGGAUCCAAAUACUUCUCCUCAGCUUCCUGCCCACCUGCAUGCGUGUGCUUAUAACUUCCCCAAACAUGUUAGCAACAACAACAAAGGCGGCAGGUGCCCCUGAAAAAUGAUCUAAUCUUGAAGAUGUGUUUGGAAAAGAGGAAACAUUUCCUAUCUUCACCACGUAUUUCAGAUAUUUGAAAUCUUGUCAGAAGUCGAAGAGUAGCAAUCUCUUAAGUUUAAUUGUAAUGUAGAAUCUGAAACUGUGCAAGUCUAAUUUUUCUCUCUUGGUGACACUAAUGCAUGGGUCAGCCUUGCAACAAAUGAAUAUUAUAUCCCUGCCCAAAUGGAACUACAUAUCUUGCAUGGAUCAUUGGUCAGGGAGUUCUGCAGGUCUAUGUAUUGAUCCACUUCCCUAGAAACCACAUCUGUUAUAUCACUACAAAUCUCAUCUGAAAAAAUCUUCAUCCCUGAAUGUAAUGGUAUUUAGAUGAAGGGCCUGUAGGAAGGUAAUUAUUAAAAGGAACCCUUAGGGUGGUCCUUCUUCCAUUCGAACUAUUGUCCUUAUAUGAUGAGAAGACUGUCCUGCCACCCCUGGCCAGCAGUGUCCAGAUGCUCUGUGCAUACGCUGGUGAAUUACCUCAUGGUGGACUGAAGUCGAACAGCCACAUCUGCUUUGGAGAGGACUCUCUAUGCAUGGAUCCACAGGUGCACUCAUACAGGGGAAGAGCCUUUCAAAAGUGGAUUUGAGGGGUUGGGGAUUUAGCUCAGUGGUAGAGCGCUUGCCUAGCGAGCGCAAGGCCCUGGGUUUGGUCCCCAGUUCCAGAAAAAAGAAAAAAAAAGUGGAUUUGAUAGCUGUGACAGGAAGUUUGCCAAUGGCAGGGAUCAAAAGAAACACUCCCAUGUCAGUACCAGUGACAAGACCUACUACUGUAAGAUUCAAGGUUGUGACAUAUCCGACAUUCACCCACAUUCUCUGAGGAAGCACAUGAAGAUUCACUGCAUGACCCACCCCGCCCCCACCUUCACCAGGAGCCCUUGGCUACUCAUCAGUGGGUAUUCCAGUGAGUGGUCCUUUGUCCUCUGCGCCUGACUCAACCAGAGGACGAUAAAGCACUCUGUCCCUUCACGUGACCAACCUCAAUGUGAGGUACCCUUUCCAGGCCACUUGGCUCCAACCACCUCCACACACAAUUAAGGUCACCCGUUUAUACUAACCUACAUUCUGCUACUUGGCUGGUUACCUCUGCUUAGGCACCAUCUGUCCUCUCACAUCUUUCCUAUACUCUGCUCUAUCCCAGAAUUCUUUCUGCCUACCAGACAUCCCGCCUUUUAUUCUACCCUUUCGUAUAAGUCAUAGGUUUUUUAAUUGACAGGUGAUGCAUCCAUACAAUACAUAAGAUAUUCUCUCUGUAUCAAGCAGACCAUACAUUAGACAUAUCAUCAUCAUCAUCAUCAUCAUCAUCAUUAUUAUUAUUAUUAUCAUUAUUAUUAUUAUUAUUAUACAAUAGGAGUCCUUGAACCUGUUCUAACCUGAGACAAUGAUGAGUCAGACCUGGUGACUCAGACAGGUCACUAGGUCUAAUUAUACCUGUUUGUUCAGCAUGAAACCCUAUGGUGUUUGUACACUUAAUUAAUUUAAUUGAAACAGUUUUUUUUUCUCUUAAAAUACUGCUAGGUCUGGCAUGGCAUCAGAAGAGACAGUGUGACACAGUUCCCACCCCUGGAGCAGAGCCAACAGGGUGUGGGUCCUCUCAGUGCCAGUGGUUGCUGUAGGCAUAAGGCUUGUUUGUAUAAUAAUGUAUAUAUUUUAUGUUCCUCCUUUGGGGAAUGUUCUCCCUGUGAAGAUUAAUGACUACAUGAUAAUCAGAAACAGUACAAUUCCAGGAAUCAAGAAUGUGUCUGGUGUUCCUCAGCAAAAUAGUAACACUGUGACCUUCAUUCAGAACAACCCUUAAGGCUGUAGAAAAGAACUCUGAAAACAUGAGUUCAAGAAUAUAUAAAAUUAAUUUAAGAACUGUUCUUUACAGAAUUUCUCAACUAUGCAAAAUAUAAGAAAUACAAUAUGAAUUGUACGAGGGGCUUCAUAGACCUGAAAGAAUAGAGACAGCUUUGUCAGAAAGGUAUUAAGGAAGGAAAUAAAGAGAUUUAGGGGGUGGUGAUCUAAGGGCAAGAUCCCACCCAGAUAGGCUUAUUGUUUGUGUUUGUAGUUGAACAAGGAAUAGUUUGGAUUUUUAAUCUGGAAUGAACUAUAAUCGAGAAAUGGAGUUUUAAGAUCUGGAUCACACUUGUGGAUGGAAGACACAGGCUUUUGAUCCAGAUCUUGAGGAAUAAUGGCCAUGAAAAGCUCAGGCCCAGGCAUGGUGGUAUAUACCUUUAAUCCCAGAGGACAAAAGAAAUCAGAUUUCUCAAUUAAAGGCCAGUUUGGGGCAGACCAAGUUCUAGGUAAAGAAAAGCUUAAGUCCAGGCAUGGUGGAGCAUGCCUGUAAUUCCAGUGUUCAGGAGACAAAGCCAUGCAGAUCUUUGAGUCUUUGAGGUCUGUCUACAGAGCAAGCUCCAGGACAGACAAGCUUAGGCCAGGCCAUGAGGGAGUAGGAAACUGGAAAGUUGGUAAUAAUGUAAUAGAACAAUGGGGCUCCAGCUCUAGCAAGCAGCUUUGGCCAUGUGCUUAUGGAAAAUAAAAGACUUGGCUUUGGUCUGAGAGAAAGGAGGGGGAGUACCUACAGCAGAACACAGAGCUGUCAGCUGUGUCCAUCACUGACUCCAAGUCAUUUGUUCACUGCUCCCAUUCACCACUUCCUUAGGACCUUCUCUCAAGCUGAGGCAGGUCCUCAGCAAGACCAACCAACCAACCACCAAAACAAAGAAUAGGUCAACUCCUCUUUUGUGCUACUGUAUUAACCCCCUGUUUAUUGUUUUUAAAGGUCUUUAUUUUAAUGUAUUUUUUCACUGGAGUCCUAAGCACUGUUAAAUUUUUUUUUCUUUUUUAUUUAUUUAUUUUUUUAUUAACUUGAGUAUUUCUUAUUUACAUUUCGAGUGUUAUUCCCUUUUACUGUUAAAUUUUAAACGGCGUAUAGCUCCCACCAAAUACUGAUGCAAGCGUGACCUUGCCAGAGCUAUCGAGCCAAGGAUACAAAGGGUCAAGGACACAGGACAGGACCUCUUAGUUUAUACUCCAUUGGUACAACAUAUCUCCCAUACAAACUGUAGCCCAUGAGAAACAUCAGACACAGAUACCAAGGAAUACUAGUUUAUCCUUAGGGACCCUAAAGACACCCUCCCCCGCCAGGGUUUGUAGAAAUUUGCUUCGUGUGCUAUGAGUGGUUGAUGUAAUGUUGUCAUUGUUAAUAGCUAUCUGAAUAAUUUUAUUUGUGCAGUUUUUUUAUUUAUUUGCUUUUUAGAGAACCCUCUCUUUUCCCCUGGAAUAAACACCAAAUUUUUGGUGAAAAAUUGUCAUUUAUAAUCCAUGGUUUAUUUAAGAAAAAACAAAAGAAAAUGAGAAAGUAUGAAAUAUUUUUAUAAAGCUUAAGUGAAUGGAUAAGGUAAUGCGAAAACCCAAGAUGCUCCCCGCCUUCGAUGAGAUUAUGUGUGGUUUAUAGAAAUAUUACAAGUCCAGUUCUUGGUUCUGUUACUAGGACCCAUUUCAAUGUUCUCUUCAGAUUGUUAAAGUAACUGUGACACGGGCAGACCCUCCUUUACAAAGAGAAAGAGCUGCAACUUGGACAUAUAAUAAUUCUACAUUUUAAAAAGAAGAAGAAGAAUCUAGACAUCAUGGCACAGAGAUGCCAUCCCAGCUCUUCAGGGACUGGAAAAGGAGGAUCAUAAACCAAGGCCUGUCUGGACUGCAGAGCCACGUCAAGGCUACGCCGGCCAACUUAAUGAGACUUUGCCUCAAAAUAAAAGAGGAACAUAGUUAGGGGUGUACAUGGCUCAGUGGCAGAGUGGAUGCCUGUCUUGCUCUAGGCCACAGCAUUUCACACAAAAAGCAGAACACAGUGAUGCCAGGCCAUGGUGAAGAGAGAGAAGAGACAGCAAGAUAGUGGCUGUCUAGCAGGUAAGGAAGGGCCUUAGAGGAAGCCAGUCCCACUGUGGGAAAGUUGUCCUGUUGGUCAGCCACCCAGUCUGAGAUGUACUGCUUCAGCAACUCUGGAGAAUGAAUAUGAAAAUGAAUGUUGCAUCUUCUCCCAGAUGGCCACUGUAUCACGUGUCCCUUGAGAGCCAACCUGCUCUAUCUGGUAGAUCAGCUUAAGCACAUGUGAGUCUCUGCCUUUUAGGCUGAGCUGGCUAGCCCCUCUUAGGACUUGAGUCUGUAUCUGCACAGUCUCAGUGUAUCAAUACCCUUCUCCCCACCCCGCACUCCCAAAGAUCAGCUUCUGUGGUUGAGUGUGUCUAACAAUUUACUUUGUGUUCCAUGUCCGCAGUACCCAGCUCAGUAGUAGAUAAUUAAAUGAGCAGGUAAAUUCGGGUAGUACAAUUAGUCUCUGUCCUUUGCUUGUGUCCAGCAGUGACGACCCCAUUCCUGGUACAAAUCUCCGUAACAGUAGCCCUCUGAAUCCAAGUGGACUUCCACUCUGGAGGAUUUGUGUCCCGGGGCUUUCUGACCCACACUCAUAACUCCUGUGUGUUAUUAGUUUAGGUAUCGUGUCAGCAACUUAGCACAAUGUGAAAACAUGUUGUUUUCCUAUAGUACGUAUUAAGUAGUGAAACACAGUUAAUCUUUCACUGGACGCAGUCUGAAUGAAGAUAAGUUUAACUUGCUCAUGCUUUAAAAAUAUAUAAUGCAUUUCAAUUAUACUCUCCCUAAGAUGUUCAGCAGACAAAGUUAUAGUUCUCUGUGUCUGUGCAUUCACUCAUUAAUCUUUCAAAUACCCACUAAAUGCUUCUUUUGGGGCCAGAACAAUUUUGAUGCUAAGGACACAGCAAUGAACUAGACAGAUUCCUUUGGUAUAAAACUUUAUGGCGCAUCUUGUUUUAAAACCAUCACACAGAAAGCUUUAGUAGAAUACAUUAAAUAUGUUUCAAUAAAUUCUACAAUUGAAGAGUAGUGGAGAUAUUUUUAAAUUACAGUGCAAUGAAGUUCAAAGUUAAAUACAAGCUAGAGUACUAUUUGUACAACUUGCUUCACUUUUUCUUCUAAAAUGAACAAUGUCCUUCAGUGAAAAAAUCUUUUUUCUUAAUUUUAUUUUUUUUAAAUUUCAUAUUGGUUCUUUGUGAGUUUCCCAUCGUGCACCCCGACCCGGUUCAUCUUCCCACCCCCUCAUAUGAGCUCUCCAGCGCUGUUCCGGCUAGGAGACCCAGUGCUGGCAUCAGCAGGCAUGGCUGCCUUCUGCUGCUCUCCUCUCUCGUGCCCUUGGGGGUAGUUCUUUCAUGCCCACCCCUCCAGAGCCAGCUCCACUGUUUCCCAGUCAAGGCAAGGGCACCACUCUCCCAAGGGCUGCAGCCUAUGAGGAACUGGAGCGGCCCUCCUGCUCUCACACCCUUGGGGCUGGCUCACCCUUGCCUCAGUGGUAAUAUGAGCCACGGACAUCAGCCCCAACUCACGCUGCUUCGGAGCCACAGACUCUCACUUGGCUCUCAGUGGCAGCUCGGGUUGGGACCUCACCGUGACCUCAGGUGGCGCAACUGGCCGCUCACAACAGGCUCCUCCUCUCCACAUGCUCAUGCUGCUCCACAGCAAAGGGAAGGUUUCCCUGUCCUGAAUCACUUGCUCCUUUCCCGAUAGCCCGAGGCACAGCCCGAUUCCUUUUCGCUGUAAGGAUGAAGACAAGUUCAACUAAUCACCAAACGUGAACGAGUGUGAACAGCUUUUGAAUUGCCACAACCAUCUUGGUGAUUUUCUUCUGUAAAUAUAACCCACUUUCCGGAUAUGCAAGCCACUCUUGCUCAGAGGCCAAGCAAAUGCUCUCCGUAGUGACCCAGCAUUAGCAUGUGAGCUUCAAGCAUGCUCCAAGCAAAAGAAUAAACAUAAACAGAUAAUUUAGUAGGAACUGCAAGAAAAGGGGCUUUCCCAUCAUCACCGCACAUCAUCAAACAGGGAAGAGACACUCAGCAUGUCAGAGACCAGUGCUCCUCCAACACCCAUGAGAAAGCCUACCAAGUGUGCAGACAAUGAGCUGUGGCAUUCUGCUUUUGCCACAAUUAGCAGAACGCGUCAGUAAAAGAUUUCCCAAAGGGUUAGUAUCCCAUUAGUGUGGAGAAAGACUGGAUUCAAGAUUUUUAUAUCUCUUGAAACAGAUGGUUAUAAUUUAAGCUUCACGAAAUAUGGGUGGUGGAGGCGGGGGUGGGGAGGCAAUCAGAAAACCUGAAAGUCCCAGUUUCUUGUUUUCCAGGGCAAAGCCUGCAGGAUGAUUGUAUAAAUAGUUCUAAGACUCUC